Diachasmimorpha longicaudata is the source of this 134-nucleotide small nucleolar RNA. RefSeq annotates it as small nucleolar RNA U109. The record is from RefSeq and is a predicted model, not a curated record. The transcript has a single exon. Lineage: Eukaryota; Metazoa; Arthropoda; Insecta; Hymenoptera; Braconidae.
UUUUUUUCUUUUUUUCCUCUUUUAUCCCGAUAAAAAUCAAAUGCAACAGAAAAAUAUGUAACCAGUGGAGUCGAGGUAACAGGGCCACCUGUGUGAUAGUGUAAACUGAGUGGUAGUUUAAUUCUCGAACAUUU